Molecule: small nucleolar RNA, 131 nt
Organism: Myotis lucifugus (little brown bat)
Lineage: Eukaryota; Metazoa; Chordata; Mammalia; Chiroptera; Vespertilionidae
Product: small Cajal body-specific RNA 24
Source: Ensembl
UGGACAUUUACUUUUAUUCAGUUUCUUCUUAAGGUGAAGAAAACUCUUUGUAAGUGUCCUAGAGAAAUAUAGUAGCUUUCUGUUCACCCUUUGCAAGUAAAAAGGGGUGGAUCGUUCCACUACUGACAUGU